This 69-nucleotide transfer RNA is filed under the name Mesopodagrion tibetanum. RNAcentral's name for it is "tRNA-Ala". It matches the Rfam family "tRNA". From Rfam's summary of the family: Transfer RNA (tRNA) molecules are approximately 80 nucleotides in length. Their secondary structure includes four short double-helical elements and three loops (D, anti-codon, and T loops). Lineage: Eukaryota; Metazoa; Arthropoda; Insecta; Odonata; Megapodagrionidae. The record is from RNAcentral.
AGGACAGUAGUUAAAUAUAACAUUUGACUUGCAUUCAAAAAGUAUUGAUUACAUAAUCAAUCCGUCUUG